UACGUAGGGGGCAAGCGUUGUCCGGAAUCAUUGGGCGUAAAGAGCGUGUAGGCGGCCAGAUAAGUCCGCUGUGAAAGUCCAGGGCUCAACCCUGGAAGGCCGGUGGAAACUGUCGGGCUAGAGUCCGGAAGAGGCGAGUGGAAUUCCUGGUGUAGCGGUGAAAUGCGCAGAUAUCAGGAGGAACACCGAUGGCGAAGGCAGCUCGCUGGGACGGUACUGACGCUGAGACGCGAAAGCGUGGGGAGCGAACAGG
This 253-nucleotide ribosomal RNA is filed under the name uncultured bacterium. RNAcentral describes it as "partial 16S ribosomal RNA". It matches the Rfam family "Bacterial small subunit ribosomal RNA", at positions 524 to 776 of the family's 1533-position model. The record is from RNAcentral.